Molecule: ribosomal RNA, 437 nt
Filed under: Escherichia coli
Lineage: Bacteria; Pseudomonadati; Pseudomonadota; Gammaproteobacteria; Enterobacterales; Enterobacteriaceae
Description: partial 23S ribosomal RNA
Rfam family: Bacterial large subunit ribosomal RNA
Source: RNAcentral
GAAUGCUGACAUAAGUAACGAUAAAGCGGGUGAAAAGCCCGCUCGCCGGAAGACCAAGGGUUCCUGUCCAACGUUAAUCGGGGCAGGGUGAGUCGACCCCUAAGGCGAGGCCGAAAGGCGUAGUCGAUGGGAAACAGGUUAAUAUUCCUGUACUUGGUGUUACUGCGAAGGGGGGACGGAGAAGGCUAUGUUGGCCGGGCGACGGUUGUCCCGGUUUAAGCGUGUAGGCUGGUUUUCCAGGCAAAUCCGGAAAACCAAGGCUGAGGCGUGAUGACGAGGCACUACGGUGCUGAAGCGACAAAUGCCCUGCUUCCAGGAAAAGCCUCUAAGCAUCAGGUAACAUCAAAUCGUACCCCAAACCGACACAGGUGGUCAGGUAGAGAAUACCAAGGCGCUUGAGAGAACUCGGGUGAAGGAACUAGGCAAAAUGGUGCCGU